CGCUGAAGCACCUUCGGGUGUGGAUGAGUGGCGAACGGGUGAGUAACACGUGGGUAACCUGCCCUGUACUUUGGGAUAAGCCCUGGAAACGGGGUCUAAUACCGAAUAUGACUCGCUAAGGCAUCUUGGUGGGUGGAAAGUUUCGGCGGUACAGGAUGGGCCCGCGGCCUAUCAGCUUGUUGGUGGGGUAGUGGCCUACCAAGGCGACGACGGGUAGCCGGCCUGAGAGGGUGACCGGCCACACUGGGACUGAGACACGGCCCAGACUCCUACGGGAGGCAGCAGUGGGGAAUAUUGCACAAUGGGCGGAAGCCUGAUGCAGCGACGCCGCGUGAGGGAUGACGGCCUUCGGGUUGUAAACCUCUUUCGCCAGGGACGAAGCGCAAGUGACGGUACCUGGAGAAGAAGCACCGGCUAACUACGUGCCAGCAGCCGCGGUAAUACGUAGGGUGCAAGCGUUGUCCGGAAUUAUUGGGCGUAAAGAGCUCGUAGGCGGCUUGUCGCGUCUGCUGUGAAAAUCCGGGGCUUAACUCCGGACCUGCAGUGGAUACGGGCAGGCUUGAGUUCGGUAGGGGAGACUGGAAUUCCUGGUGUAGCGGUGAAAUG
RNAcentral lists this ribosomal RNA (606 nucleotides) under Amycolatopsis sp. RNAcentral describes it as "bacterial SSU rRNA". It matches the Rfam family "Bacterial small subunit ribosomal RNA", at positions 67 to 688 of the family's 1533-position model. Lineage: Bacteria; Bacillati; Actinomycetota; Actinomycetes; Pseudonocardiales; Pseudonocardiaceae. The record is from RNAcentral.